UGCAAGUCGAACGUGAUUGGAGGAGCUUGCUCUUCCAUGAAAGUGGCGCACGGGUGCGUAACGCGUAUGCAACCUACCUUUAUCAGGGGGAUAGCCUCUCGAAAGAGAGAUUAACACCGCAUAAAAUCACAAGCUGGCAUCAGCAAAUGAUCAAAUAUUAAUAGGAUGAAGAUGGGCAUGCGUGACAUUAGCUAGUUGGUGGGGUAACGGCCCACCAAGGCGACGAUGUCUAGGGGAUCUGAGAGGAUGACCCCCCACACUGGUACUGAGACACGGACCAGACUCCUACGGGAGGCAGCAGUAAGGAAUAUUGGUCAAUGGGGGCAACCCUGAACCAGCCAUGCCGCGUGCAGGAAGACGGCCCUACGGGUUGUAAACUGCUUUUGUACCAGAAUAACCCCCCGGUUGCGACCGGGGCUGAAAGUAUGGUAAGAAUAAGGAUCGGCUAACUCCGUGCCAGCAGCCGCGGUAAUACGGAGGAUCCAAGCGUUAUCCGGAUUUAUUGGGUUUAAAGGGUGCGUAGGCGGCUUUUUAAGUCAGGGGUGAAAGACGGUGGCUCGACCAUCGCAGUGCCUUUGAUACUGAAGAGCUUGAAUAAACUUGAGGUAGGCGGAAUGUGACAAGUAGCGGUGAAAUGCAUAGAUAUGUCACAGAACACCAAUUGCGAAGGCAGCUUACUAAAGUUUAAUUGACGCUGAGGCACGAAAGCGUGGGGAUCAAACAGGAUUAGAUACCCUGGUAGUCCACGCCCUAAACGAUGAAUACUCGAUGUUAGCGAUAUACAGUUAGCGUCUAAGCGAAAGCGUUAAGUAUUCCACCUGGGGAGUACGCCCGCAAGGGUGAAACUCAAAGGAAUUGACGGGGGCCCGCACAAGCGGAGGAGCAUGUGGUUUAAUUCGAUGAUACGCGAGGAACCUUACCCGGGCUUGAAAGUU
RNAcentral lists this ribosomal RNA (935 nucleotides) under uncultured Sphingobacteriaceae bacterium. Its description in RNAcentral is "bacterial SSU rRNA". It matches the Rfam family "Bacterial small subunit ribosomal RNA", at positions 56 to 989 of the family's 1533-position model. Lineage: Bacteria; Pseudomonadati; Bacteroidota; Sphingobacteriia; Sphingobacteriales; Sphingobacteriaceae. The record is from RNAcentral.